Molecule: long non-coding RNA, 264 nt
Organism: Lolium rigidum
Lineage: Eukaryota; Viridiplantae; Streptophyta; Magnoliopsida; Poales; Poaceae
Exons: 3
Source: RefSeq, a predicted model, not a curated record
UCAGACAUUGAUUUCCAAAUAGGUCAGCAUCGGAUUGUUUGGUUGGAAUUUUCGGGGGCUGUUUUGAGCUAUGAGAUGGAAUAACUAAAUUAUUGUUGCUGCCUCUUGCCUAAUGUUAUGCGCCUGAGGUUCCGGGGCUAGAUCUCAACUGCUAGGCCUCAAAUGUAAAUAUAUUUGUGCUUCUCUAUAUUACUAAUCAAUGAAACCAGUAGAGGAUUCAAUUUAUGGUUGGUGCAUACUUGAGAGGUUGGUGCAUAUAUGCAU